Molecule: microRNA precursor, 366 nt
Filed under: Arabidopsis lyrata
Lineage: Eukaryota; Viridiplantae; Streptophyta; Magnoliopsida; Brassicales; Brassicaceae
Description: miR862 stem-loop (aly-MIR862)
Gene: aly-MIR862
Rfam family: MIR862 microRNA precursor family (bases 129-238)
Source: miRBase by way of RNAcentral
ACAAUUAUGGAAUGACAAGCAUGUACUGAAACUGAGAGUAUAUGGGCACUGUGUCCAACUGAAAGAGAAAAGACACAAAGUUUCCUUAUAAAUACAGUACAAAUCACAAGUUCAGCCAUCUUAUAUGUACAGUAAUCUUCCAAUAGGUCUAGCAUGUGCUGAAACUGUGUGUUGUGUGUACAAUGUUCUCAUAUACACACAGUUUCAGCACAUGCUGGAUCUACUUGAAGACUACUGUUCUUAUAAGGUACUGAACUUGUUAUCUGUACUGUGUAUAUAUGAGAUCUCUGUAUUCUUGCUCUUUUAGUUUGACACUUUGUUCUCAUAUACACUCGGUUUCAGCACAUGCUUGACUUACUUGCUUGU